AUAUCUCGUCGAAACACCGGUUCCUCUACGAUCCCCGAAGUUAAGCAACAUCGAGCCUGGUCAGUAUCUAGAUGGGUGACUGCAUGGGAAUACCAGGUGCUGCAAG
Non-coding RNA from Acanthosepion pharaonis, 106 nucleotides. NCBI's taxonomy places the organism in Eukaryota, Metazoa, Mollusca, Cephalopoda, Sepiida, Sepiidae. The record is from the annotation of a GenBank genome assembly.